AGUGAACGCUGGCGGUAGGCCUAACACAUGCGAGUCGAACGGCAGCACAGUAAGAGCUUGCUCUUACGGGUGGCGAGUGGUGGACGGGUGAGGAAUACAUCGGAAUCUACUUUUUCGUGGGGGAUAACGUAGGGAAACUUACGCUAAUACCGCAUACGACCUACGGGUGAAAGCAGGGGAUCUUCGGACCUUGCGCGAUUGAAUGAGCCGAUGUCGGAUUAGCUAGUUGGCGGGGUAAAGGCCCACCAAGGCGACGAUCCGUAGCUGGUCUGAGAGGAUGAUCAGCCACACUGGAACUGAGACACGGUCCAGACUCCUACGGGAGGCAGCAGUGGGGAAUAUUGGACAAUGGGCGCAAGCCUGAUCCAGCCAUACCGCGUGGGUGAAGAAGGCCUUCGGGUUGUAAAGCCCUUUUGUUGGGAAAGAAAAGCAGCAGGUUAAUACCCCGCUGUUCUGACGGUACCCAAAGAAUAAGCACCGGCUAACUUCGUG
RNAcentral lists this ribosomal RNA (492 nucleotides) under uncultured bacterium. Its description in RNAcentral is "partial 16S ribosomal RNA". It matches the Rfam family "Bacterial small subunit ribosomal RNA", at positions 29 to 507 of the family's 1533-position model. The record is from RNAcentral.